CUCUGUCCUCAGCAGCAGUCAUCUCCUCGGCAUCUCCGGCAGGAGCUCGCCAAAGAGCCCACGGGAACGCUGCUUGGGACUGCUGCGUGACCUUGGAGUAGCACCAGGGUCCUGCAACGCUGGGUAGGUCCCUUUUCUUCGCUUUGUAGCCACUGAGUAGAGCUUUGGUUAGGUCCUAGUCGGUGCUGGUUGUUGCUAACGGCCUCUGGCUUCUCCGAAGUGUCAGUCUAGAAAGAAAAAUAAUCCAUGUAGAAAUUGAUGGGUCUGCCUGUGUGAAUGAGAAGGUAGCGUAGAGAAAUGGUCCCCAAGCGUACAACUGGCUUGGGGUGGCUCAGCUGCUUUUCUGCAUUUGAGUGACAGUGGCAUUAAGGCAGCACAGAAUCCCAACUAUUCAUCUUUUCUGGGUAGAGCAGCUGUCUUUCAGUAACAGCUAGAGGAAUGCAGCUCUCCUCUAUGACACUGAUGUCAGGCAAGCUAAGAUAGGAAGGAUAAUAGGUUCAUGCAUAGAGGAUUACAUUAUUUUCUUUACCCUAACAACUGACGAAGGAUGGAAGUGUUAGCCCCUGAAAAGAAAACACAUGAAGAGAAUGAAGAUUUGCAGCAGUAUCCUCAGAAGCCUGCAAGCUGUAAGAAAAUGCUUAGGAAUUGCUGCUUGAUAAAGCGAAUUUUUGCCUGGAAAAGUUUGAGCUCUAAAGGAAGUUUGUUUUAUUUGAUAAGGAAAAGAAAAUCUGAGGGUCAGCUGUGGCAGUAUUUCAGCCUUUCUGAUAUUUACUUGGUUAGCAGAUAAAGCCCAACAGGAUUCAUCUCCUCCUGGGAGCCUUUGAGGUAAGAUUACUGUGUUCCUUGAAGCAGAAAACAUGACUUACAAAAAUUUAGAAACCACAUUUCAUUU
Molecule: long non-coding RNA, 892 nt
Organism: Parus major (Great Tit)
Lineage: Eukaryota; Metazoa; Chordata; Aves; Passeriformes; Paridae
Source: Ensembl